AUGACGAUCGAUUUGUCCACCAUGCCCGGGAGCUCCUCCUCCCGUCUCCUGGACGCCGCCGCGGCGAGGAAGGACAUGAACUUCUUCAAAAACCGCUACGUGCUUGGGCUCACCGGCGUCGCCGGAAUCGGCGGGUUCCUCUUUGGAUACGACACAGGUGUUAUAUCUGGAGCGCUUCUGUAUAUUCGGGACGAAUUUCCAGCUGUCAAAGACAAUCUAUUCUUGCAGGAGACAAUUGUUAGCAUGGCAUUACUUGGAGCCAUGCUUGGAGCAGCUGGGGGCGGUUGGAUAAAUGAUGCCUACGGUCGUAAAAAGUCCACUCUUCUUGCUGACCUGAUGUUCGCACUUGGUUCACUGGUUAUGUGUGCUGCUGGCGGUCCUUACAUUCUGAUACUUGGAAGGCUCUUUGUUGGAUUGGGUGUGGGAAUAGCAUCAGUCACUGCCCCAGUUUACAUCGCUGAAGCUGCUCCUUCAGAAAUCAGGGGAGGUUUGGUGUCAACUAAUGUCCUCAUGAUUACUGGCGGCCAAUUCUUCUCCUACUUGGUCAAUCUUGGCUUUACCGAGGUUCCUGGGACAUGGCGCUGGAUGCUCGGAGUAGCUGCUGUGCCAGCAAUCAUACAGUUUGUGCUGAUGCUUUUUCUGCCAGAAUCUCCCCGCUGGCUUUACCGGAAGGAUGAGAAAGCAAAAGCUAUUGCUGUCCUGGAGCAGAUAUAUGACUCUGGUCGUCUGGAGGAAGAGGUUGAGCUGCUUGCGUCGGCUUCCAUGCAUGAAUUCCAGUCUAACUGUACUGGGAGCUAUUUGGACAUAUUCAGGUUGAAGGAAUUAAGGCUAGCUUUUUUUGCUGGAGCUGGUCUUCAGGCCUUUCAGCAAUUUACUGGCAUCAACACCGUCAUGUACUACAGCCCCACGAUCGUCCAGAUGGCUGGGUUCACUUCCAACAGGCUGGCCCUGCUACUUUCCCUCAUCGUUGCCGCCAUGAAUGCGAGUGGAACCAUCGUCGGAAUCUACCUCAUCGACCGUUGUGGCCGCCGCCGCCUGGCCCUUACAAGCCUAGCCGGGGUCGUGCUCUCCCUUGUCAUCCUCGCCACGGCCUUCAUACUGCAGUCAUCCUCCAGCCUCUGCGGGAGCCUGUUCAGCGGCUCCUGCCAAGGCGUGCUGGGGUGGUUCGCGGUCGGAGGGCUCGCUCUGUACAUCGCCUUCUUCUCUCCGGGCAUGGGGCCGGUGCCAUGGGCCGUGAACUCGGAGAUCUACCCCGAGGCCUACCGCGGCAUGUGCGGCGGCAUGUCGGCCACCGUCAACUGGAUCUCCAACCUGAUCGUGGCGCAGACGUUCCUCUCGAUCGUGGGGUGGGUCGGCACCGGCCCAACAUUCAUAAUCAUCGCCGGGAUAGCCGUGAUGGCCUUGAUCUUCGUCGCCCUCUACGUGCCGGAGACCAAGGGCCUGAGCUUCGAGGAGGUGGACCUCCUGUGGAAAGAGCGGGCCUGGGGAAGCCAGGGCAGCCACGAGAGCCUCCUGGGUGCUGCGCCGUAA
Molecule: ribosomal RNA, 1530 nt
Filed under: Triticum aestivum (bread wheat)
Lineage: Eukaryota; Viridiplantae; Streptophyta; Magnoliopsida; Poales; Poaceae
Description: partial small subunit ribosomal RNA
Source: RNAcentral